UACAGAGGGUGCGAGCGUUAAUCGGAAUUACUGGGCGUAAAGCGUGCGUAGACGGCUAUCUAAGUCGGGUGUGAAAGCCCCGGGCUCAACCUGGGAAUUGCAUUCGAGACUGAAUAGCUAGGGUACGGUAGAGGGAAGCGGAAUUUCCGGUGUAGUGGUGAAAUGCGUAGAGAUCGGCAGGAACACCCAGGGAGAAAUCAGCCGCCUGGGCAAGUGCUGACGCUGAGGUGCGAAAGCGUGGGGAGCGAACCGG
RNAcentral lists this ribosomal RNA (253 nucleotides) under uncultured bacterium. Its description in RNAcentral is "partial 16S ribosomal RNA". It matches the Rfam family "Bacterial small subunit ribosomal RNA", at positions 524 to 776 of the family's 1533-position model. The record is from RNAcentral.